Long non-coding RNA from Mesocricetus auratus (golden hamster), 1086 nucleotides. RefSeq lists it as uncharacterized. The transcript has 2 exons. Lineage: Eukaryota; Metazoa; Chordata; Mammalia; Rodentia; Cricetidae. The record is from RefSeq and is a predicted model, not a curated record.
AUGUGAUCUCGGGGAGAGGACGCAUGAGGCCGCGUCCUUCGUAAGAAAUUUUGUGAAUUAAAGCCAUGAAAAGAGAAGCCAACUGUCAAACCGUCAAACCCAGCCAACGGGAGCAAAUUUCUCACGACACAACUCUUGGAGCAGCAUUGACCACCCUCAUCAUUCCAGACACCUUUGGCGGCUCAGCUACCAGAACUCGCACUCCAGAGUAACACAGGCAAUAUUUACAGAAGUCCGCGUUGUUACCAGAAAGCUUGAGGGGACCUUGCGUGGGGGACCAUGGCAGACGAGGGUGACCGAGGUAGAGGGACAAACAUGCCAGGCAGACAGAGCUUCAAUGAGAAGUUUUAUUAGAAAGGAGAGGGAGGGGGAAGGAAAGAGAUAAAGAGACACAGAGGGCAGAAGAGGGAGACAGAGAAAGUCUUGACUGCCCCAGGGGAAUAGCAGAAAAGAGAUCCAGAAAGAGAGAGCAGGAAGAAAGUUGAAAAGAGAGCGUCAGUGGGAGGGGGUUCUGUCUUCUAACGGGGUCCUUUGCACCUGGGCUGACCAGGGCGCUGCAUUCUGCCAGGUGAUAGGGGCAGGCCGCGUAUAAUGCCUGAGAGUCCUUACACACGUAACAGCCACCGAGUGUGGUCCCUACAGCAGCCCUGAGUGAGGAGUCCUGCAAUUUCAGCCCCUCUACCCCUUUAGACCUCUCACCAAAGUCUGUUUCAACAAAUGGUUACCGGAGUUGCACACCGUCUAUGGAUGUCAAAGUCAGUGCAGAGAGCAGAGAAACUUGAAGGCGGGCGUGAACAACUGGCGAUAACCGUGAGGACCACGCCCAGGCAGAGGUGCCCAUGUCUGCGUAAUCUCCGCCUGCGCCCACAGGUUCUCCAACCUGCUCUGGCUGUGCCAUCAAGGGGCUUUCGUUAGAACUGGGAGGAAAAGACGAACAUUUUAACAAAUGCGUCACACAAUCUAGACUUGACCAGGGCUCACACUUACUGCCAAAAUGCUGAGAUUUCCCGCCCAGUUCCACAGCCACCUCUGAGCCCCAAAUGAACACUCCGACACUGUAUUAAAUUAUGUAUACUGUUGGCCGGU